RNAcentral lists this ribosomal RNA (424 nucleotides) under uncultured archaeon. RNAcentral's name for it is "partial 16S ribosomal RNA". It matches the Rfam family "Archaeal small subunit ribosomal RNA", at positions 323 to 746 of the family's 1478-position model. The record is from RNAcentral.
CUACGGGACGCUCCAGUUAGGAAACUUCUACAAUGCACGCAAGUGUGAUAGAGCAAGCCAGAGUGAUUCUCUAUAAUUGAGAAUCUUUUGUGGGAUGUAAAAAGUCUCACGAAUAAGGACUGGGAAAGACUGGUGCCAGCCGCCGCGGUAAUACCAGCAGUUCAAGUGGCAGCCCCUUUUAUUGGGUCUAAAACAUCCGUAGCUUGUUUUGUAAGUCUCUUGUGAAAUCCGGCCUCUCAAGGGUCGGGCGUGCAAGAGAUACUGCUUUACUAGGGAUCGGGAGACGUGGAGAGUACGGUUAGGGUAGCGGUCAAAUGCGUUGAUCCUAUCUGGACUAACGAUAGCGAAGGCACUUCACGAGAACGAAUCCGACAGUGAGGGAUGAAGGCUAGGGUCGCAAAACGGAUUAGAUACCCCGGUAGUC